CUUUUAACAAUCGAACAUCAACGGUUUUUACAUGUUCUUAAAAUAUAAACAGUAACCACAUAAACAAACAAAAUCUAAAAUAGAGAAUUAUUAUACAAAAUAACAUUAAAUAAAUGUGCAAAACAACAUUAACAUUCGAGUUAACGGAAGUUUUUACGAAUAGCGUAAAGGGGUCAUCAGUUCAUAGAUCCAAUUUCCAUGCUGUGAUAAUAGUGGAUGGGUCUAAUUUAUUAAUCAGUUUUCGUGUUGCCUUGUUGGAGUUAAAAAUUGUAAAAGACUCUGCUAUCCUUCCCCUUUUUGGGUCUUCUUGCUUCUUAAUGAGUCUAGCAUCAUCCCACUUUACG
This 344-nucleotide long non-coding RNA is filed under the name Androctonus crassicauda. The record is from RNAcentral. Lineage: Eukaryota; Metazoa; Arthropoda; Arachnida; Scorpiones; Buthidae.